GACGAACGCUGGCGGCGUGCUUAACACAUGCAAGUCGAACGAAGUGGCGAACGGGUGAGUAAUACGUGGGUAACCUGCCCUCCUUUUUGGGAUAAGCCUUGGAAACGGGGUCUAAUACCGAAUAUCGUGGGAUGGGCUCGCGGCCUAUCAGCUGGUUGGUGGGGUGCUGGCCUACCAAGGCGGUGACGGGUAGCCGGCCUGAGAGGGUGACCGGCGACAUUGGGACGGAGAGACGGCCCAGAGUCGUACGGGAGGCAGAAGUUGGGGAUAUUGCACAAUGGGGGAAAGCCUGAUGCAGCGACGCCGCGUGGGGGAUGAAGGCUUUCGGGUUGUAAACCUCUUUCGAUCUCGAACGGGUAGGUGGAGAAGAAGCGCCGGCUAACUACGUGCCAGCAGCCGCGGUAAUUC
This 408-nucleotide ribosomal RNA is filed under the name uncultured bacterium. RNAcentral describes it as "partial 16S ribosomal RNA". It matches the Rfam family "Bacterial small subunit ribosomal RNA", at positions 28 to 526 of the family's 1533-position model. The record is from RNAcentral.